UACGGAGGGUGCAAGCGUUAAUCGGAAUUACUGGGCGUAAAGCGCGCGUAGGUGGUUAUAAGCGAAUGAUGAGAACCCCGGGCUUAACCUGGGAACGGCAUUUCGAACUGUCAGGCUAGAGUAUGGUAGAGGAGUGUGGAAUUUCCUGUGUAGCGGUGAAAUGCGUAGAUAUAGGAAGGAACACCAGUGGCGAAGGCGGCACUCUGGACCAAUACUGACACUGAGGUGCGAAAGCGUGGGGAGCAAACAGGAUUAGAUACCCGUGUAGUCC
This 271-nucleotide ribosomal RNA is filed under the name uncultured bacterium. RNAcentral describes it as "partial 16S ribosomal RNA". It matches the Rfam family "Bacterial small subunit ribosomal RNA", at positions 524 to 796 of the family's 1533-position model. The record is from RNAcentral.